UACGGGGGGAGCAAGCGUUGUUCGGAUUUACUGGGCGUAAAGGGCGCGUAGGCGGUCGUGACAAGUCACUUGUGAAAUCUCCGGGCUUAACUCGGAACGGUCAAGUGAUACUGUCGGACUAGAGUACAGAAGGGGCAACUGGAAUUCUCGGUGUAGCGGUGAAAUGCGUAGAUAUCGAGAGGAGCACCUGCGGCGAAGGCGGGUUGCUGGGCUGAUACUGACGCUGAGGCGCGAAAGCCAGGGGAGCGAACGGG
RNAcentral lists this ribosomal RNA (254 nucleotides) under uncultured bacterium. Its description in RNAcentral is "partial 16S ribosomal RNA". It matches the Rfam family "Bacterial small subunit ribosomal RNA", at positions 524 to 776 of the family's 1533-position model. The record is from RNAcentral.